Molecule: ribosomal RNA, 253 nt
Filed under: uncultured bacterium
Lineage: Bacteria
Description: partial 16S ribosomal RNA
Rfam family: Bacterial small subunit ribosomal RNA
Source: RNAcentral
UACGAAGGGGGCUAGCGUUGCUCGGAUUGACUGGGCGUAAAGGGCGCGUAGGCGGUUCGUACAGUCAGACGUGAAAUUCCUGGGCUCAACCUGGGGGCUGCGUUUGAUACGUGCGGACUUGAGUGCGGAAGAGGGUCGUGGAAUUCCCAGUGUAGAGGUGAAAUUCGUAGAUAUUGGGAAGAACACCGGUGGCGAAGGCGGCUCUCUGGGACGGUACUGACGCUGAGACGCGAAAGCGUGGGGAGCGAACAGG